Molecule: ribosomal RNA, 39 nt
Filed under: Caamembeca spectabilis
Lineage: Eukaryota; Viridiplantae; Streptophyta; Magnoliopsida; Fabales; Polygalaceae
Description: partial 26S ribosomal RNA
Source: RNAcentral
GGUCAGGCGGGAGCACCCGCUGAGUUUAAGCAUAUCAAU